AUGAAACACUCCUACGGGAGGCAGCAGUGGGGAAUUUUGGACAAUGGGCGCAAGCCUGAUCCAGCAAUGCCGCGUGCAGGAUGAAGGCCUUCGGGUUGUAAACUGCCUUUGUACGGAACGAAAAGUCUUGGGUUAAUACCCUGGGAUCAUGACGGUACCGUAAGAAUAAGCACCGGCUAACUACGUGCCAGCAGCCGCGGUAAUACGUAGGGUGCAAGCGUUAAUCGGAAUUACUGGGCGUAAAGCGUGCGCAGGCGGUUUUGUAAGACAGUGGUGAAAUCCCCGGGCUCAACCUGGGAACUGCCAUUGUGACUGCAAGGCUGGAGUGCGGCAGAGGGGGAUGGAAUUCCGCGUGUAGCAGUGAAAUGCGUAGAUAUGCGGAGGAACACCGAUGGCGAAGGCAAUCCCCUGGGCCUGCACUGACACUCAUGCACGAAAGCGUGGGGAGCAAACAGGAUUAGAAACCCUGGUAGUCCGAAGUUC
RNAcentral lists this ribosomal RNA (483 nucleotides) under uncultured bacterium. Its description in RNAcentral is "bacterial SSU rRNA". It matches the Rfam family "Bacterial small subunit ribosomal RNA", at positions 328 to 802 of the family's 1533-position model. The record is from RNAcentral.